Long non-coding RNA from Oncorhynchus kisutch (coho salmon), 1665 nucleotides. The record is from Ensembl. NCBI's taxonomy places the organism in Eukaryota, Metazoa, Chordata, Actinopteri, Salmoniformes, Salmonidae.
AUGUCAUAUACAGUAUUAACAACAACAAGUGGUCAGUUACAGAACUUGUGUUACUGUAGUGAUGUGUUUCGUGGCUAUGAUGCAGUUGUAAAAGCUCAAUUCUCAGUUGUGGCCUGUCUAGUGUCCAUAAUGGGUGGUUCAUCUCUCUCUAGCCCUAUUCUGAUUGGUCCAGACAAGGCCUACCUGAACUCCAAGGUAGUGUUCCAAUGUAGGUCACCUGGGUCUCCUCCACCAAACACAUAUGAGCUCCUGAAGGACGGCAACCACCUGGUCGCCACGAGCAACGACCUCCAAGACGACCAAUCGGCUACGUUCUUCCUGAAGAUCUCUGUGACGUCAGAAGGAUCGUACCACUGCAGGGUGACGGCAGGUGGGAACAUGGGCCUCAGUGGAACAGUCCGCCUGCAAGUAGUGAUCCCUGUCUCAGGCACUAUGGUGACCUCUGACCCUGAUCCUCCCAUUCUCUACGAGGGGUUGAGGCUCACUCUCACCUGUGAUGUCACCAAGGGCUCCCACCUCUCCUACACCUGGUUCUACAACAGACAGGAAGUGACAUCAUCUCCAACCUCACCUUUGACCCCGCUUCUGCUUUGGCCGGUGGGGAACACGCUGGUGGUGGAGAGGGUCACAGCAAAGCAUGCUGGGAAUUAUUCGUGCAUUGCCGGGACCAGGAUGCAGACCAACAGCAGGUUCUCCAGCAGCAGAGAGGUCACGGUUAGGGUCAAAGCCUAUCUCUCCGUACCCCAGAUAUCCUUCACCAUCUCCAAAGAGGGUUCGAGUUUCUGCGGCAAUGUGACCUGCAUGUCAUCAAGGGGAACCCCUCCCGUGACCUUCUACCUCUUCCUUGACGACAAGGAGGUGGGUUCCGACGUGGCAACGGAGUCGCUGGUUGCCUGGUUCCCUGUUGCCAUGGUUCCCGGGCGUGACAUGGGCACGGUGCGGUGUACAGUGGAGAGUGAUGCACAGAGACUGACCAGCAGACCCCUCACUCUGGUAGUGGUCCCAGUAGGAGGCUCACCAAAGGUGGAUGUGGAGUACCUUUACAGGGUUGAUUCCAAGAUGGCCGCCGCUCGUCUCCAAUGCCUCCUGAGCCUCGGGACAUUCCCUUUCUUCUCCUGGUCCCUCAACGGCUCCCUCCUCCUUCACCCCUCCGAGGGAGACUCCUCUCACCCCUCUCACGCCCUGGCGGACGGAGGGCGCACCCUAUUCCUCACCGAGAUCACCCUAGAGGACUCUGGGUAUUAUCGGUGCAGGGCAAGGGACAGUUAUGACGUAACGUCCGCUUGGGUGGAAAGCCAACCUGUCCUUGUGCAGGUCACAGAAGUUGCCACGACAACCAUAGAGGUCAUGGCCAUAGUAUUCUGCUGUUUCCUCAUGCUGACCCUGGCAGGGGGUGUGGCCUGUGUGAUGUGGAUGCUCAACCGCCAACGAGGUGGGUGUGUGUUCAGAAUAUGGUCAUUGUUCUUAAAUGUGUCACUCUCAGUCUUUCAUUCUCUCUCUCUCUCUCUCUCUGUCUCUCUCUCUCUCUCUCUCUCUCUCUCUCUCUCUCUCUCUCUCUCUCUCUCUCUCUCUCUCAGACGUUGUGGCAAGCAGCGAGCAGAGAGCGAGAGCAGCAAAGUGAGUCCUGUAUUUAUUUUAGUCUAUUGUAGGCCUACAGUGUUUUGA